This 428-nucleotide ribosomal RNA is filed under the name bacterium. Its description in RNAcentral is "partial 16S ribosomal RNA". It matches the Rfam family "Bacterial small subunit ribosomal RNA", at positions 355 to 776 of the family's 1533-position model. The record is from RNAcentral.
UAGGGAAUCUUCGGCAAUGGGGCAACCCUGACCGAGCCACGCCGCGUGGGGGAAGGAGGUUUUCGGAUCGUAAAGCUCUGUUUUUAGAGAAGAACGGGGGUGAGAGUGGAAAGUUUACACAGUGACGGUAACUUACCAGAAAGGGACCGCUAACUACGUGCCAGCAGCCGCGGUAAUACGUAGGUCCCGAGCGUUGUCCGGGUUUAUUGGGCGUAAAGCGAGCGCAGGCGGUUUAAUAAGUCUGAAGUUAAAGGCCGUGGCUUAACCAUUGUUCGCUUUGGAAACUGUUAAACUUGAGUGCAGAAGGGGAGAGUGGAAUUCCAUGUGUAGCGGUGAAAUGCGUAGAUAUAUGGAGGAACACCGGUGGCGAAAGCGGCUCUCUGGUCUGUAACUGACGCUGAGGCUCGAAAGCGUGGGGAGCAAACAGG